Motacilla alba alba is the source of this 3916-nucleotide long non-coding RNA. RefSeq lists it as uncharacterized. The record is from RefSeq and is a predicted model, not a curated record. The transcript is spliced from 2 exons. Lineage: Eukaryota; Metazoa; Chordata; Aves; Passeriformes; Motacillidae.
AAAAAAAAAAAACCAAAAACAAAACCAGAAAAAAAAAUCAAGCGGAAAAGAAAGUGAAAUACGUCGCACAGCUUUCUUACUCGGAAAGGAGACGGGGAAAUGUAAUGGACAGAGAUGAUCGUGCUGAUCGCAUUCAGACCAAAGCUGUGGUAAACCUCUAGCAGCGCGUUAAGCUGCUUCGCGUUUGUGCUGGAGGAAAAGAUGCUCUGUAGAAACAAUACGCGCAGCUCAACCCCAGCUAAAACAACUUAUCCCAAGGAAAUUCAGGUUAGAGAACAAUGCAAUGAAUGUAGUUCUGUGCAGACGUGCGUUUUAUAUAUGUGUUUGUGUAUGUCUGUGUACGAGGGAGGGAGGAAAAGCGAGUAUGGGAAAGAGAGAGUAAAUAACGAGGACAAGUAAAAUGGACCGGUUAUAAACAAUUGCAAUUGGGGAUGGCAUGAACUCUGGGCAUUGGAUUAACCUCGAAUGACCUUACCACAAUUGUAUUUAUUUAACCAAUUUCAUAACAGGUUGCUACUGACACACACACACAAGUUAAUGAUCAACAACCACUCUUUUUUCCUUUGUUUGUUGUUUAGUUUUAGAUUUUUGGGGUUUUUUUAGAAAUGCAGGUUGUUUGUUUUGUUGCUUUUUGUUUUUUUUUUUUUAAAUCAUGACGAUUUAUAAUUAUUUCGUUUCUCAUCACUGAAGUCAAUGUAUGGGAUUUCUUGACGAAGAGUGCAAUGAGGAGGAUAUUAUAUGACUCUACCAUGGCAAGGGGUAAGAGGAAAGGUAAGCUUCCUGCAUAUUAUUAUGAUUAUGAUGAUCAUUAACUAAUAUGUGUCAUUAUGGUGCACUAGGAUCCCAUUAGGGUGGCUGGGCCCAGUGCGUUUUCCUACUCGGUCUAGCAUGUAAUGAUUCGGUGUAACCAGAUUCUUGAGAAAGGACAGGUUACGUAAACAUUUACUGAUGUGGAGUAACUAUACUAUUUGUACUCUGAUAUGCAGGAAGGAAAGUGUUGAUUAACACAGAAGAAAAAAAAAGCGAAAUUAGCUGAUUGCAUGCUCAUAAGUGCAAGCUGUCAUUGAACUGCUUUUAAAAUAGACACAGCUGGGUGUUUGUGUUGAAAAAUUUCUUGUGUUUUUGCUAAUACUGAAAUAAGCAUGAUUUUGUAUACCAAACAUUUUCAGAUCAUUAAAAUUUGUAAUCUGUGCUGGUUUUAAACACAAAGAAAAGAAACAGAUUCAUUUCGUUGUAAAAUUUGCUGAUAUUAUAUUAACUCAAUCAGGUCUGUACAAAUGGUGUAUUGUGCCUUAUCAAAUCUCUUUGAUCCAUUUAAUACACAAAGUGCCAAACGUGUGUAUUGUUUGUUAACAUUGAACGUUUUAUUCAAAUCCCAGCUCUGUAGCAAACUGGAGGAGUUCUUGUUUAAUGUAACACUGACAUUGCCUGUUGAAAUUUUAAUGCCUUGAGGUGUUUCUUAGGUCAAAGCUGAGUUUACUUUGUGUUGUGCUCAGGGAUGAAAAUGUAGCAGGGAAGAAAAUAGAAGUUUUAUCUUUUUUGCAUUUCUGAGCAAAAGGCUAACACCGCAAGAAGCACACUUGAAAAACAUUUGAUGAUCUAGAUUUAACAUUUGGUCAUUUGUCACGGGUGCGGAAUAAAACUCUGUGCACAAACUUAGGAUUUAUAUAUAUAUAUAUAUAUAUAUAUAUAUAUAAUUUUUUUUUUAAUGCUGUGGAUAUACAGUUCUACCAAAAAAGGAAAUGUUUUGUCCAAUAUGUAGUACAUAUCUUUCUGCGUCCACGAAGAUUAAUUCAUUGUUUACGGGAGAGAAAAAGAUAUGUGAGAAAAGCCUCAUCAAUUAUAAUUUCUGCUGGACUUAAACUUUCGAGUAUUUUUUCUUUUUUUUUUCUUUUUUUUUUUUCUUUUUUUUUUUUCCCCCUUCGGCAGAAAAGGCACCGUUUAUAUAACUAUUUACUUUGGAAAUGCGGGAGUCUUACUCUAACGCCAGUUCCUUCCUGAGCUCUGCCCCAAACACGACUCCACUUCAGUGGUACCUUUGUGCAUCGGGGCACUGCAUGAGCGGCAGGUUUGACCGCUCAACUGGCUAAACCCGAAUUCUCUUAAGACAGUCCCUCAUGGCAGCAUUUUCUAACAGGGAAGGUUUUGUGGAGUGUUUGGAAUAGAAGCUUGUGCGUGGAACGGAGGCGCACAGUCCCAGCCCUGUGAAAUAUGGGUGGGUGUGCAGAGGGGAGCCGGCUCUCUGCAAAGUGUGAAUGAUGCCUCACCUGCACGUUCGUCGACGCUGCGGAUUCUCCGAACCGAGCGGUGGGGAUGGACUGAGAGUAUCCGGCUCCGGGGUCAGGAUGGGGCUGAAUAGCUGAGCUGAAACGUCCUGGCUGAAGUGCCAUUCAACAGAGAUCUCCGUGCAGCUCUUGGGUAUAACUCGUAGGGAUAGUGUUUCAACCACACACUUUUCUGCCCCCAUCCUCCCCCCUACCUUUUUUUUUUUUUUUUAAUUUUUAUUUCUUUUUUUAAAUUAAGGGUCAAAAGAAGAAAAGACCCUCUCCAAUGUACACUUAAUGCAUAUAGCAUACUUCCCUUGCACCACCCCCCGCCCCAGCUUCAGCCCUCAAUCCCCCUUCACACGGGUAUAGUGGCUCUAUACUCUCGGGCUCUUUCAAGACGGUUAAGCUGCUAAAAUGUACUGACAGCUUAAGAAAUGAAUGAGAUUUUUUUUUCAGCCAUGAAGAAAGGGUAUUUAGUAACCACGCUUCGAUGGCAUCAUGCUUCCAUGAAACGAGUCCGGACACUUUGGUUUAACAGUCAGUAAUAUCACAUUCGGUAUAGUAAAUGCCUCCAUGUACGCUUAUAUAAUUCUAUUCCCCCUUGACUGUAAGCUUGCCUUACUUAUUCCAGGUUACCUGGCAAUUAAGGUAAAGACUGCUCAGCAGAUACUGAUACCCUGCUGCUAAGGCAUGGCGAAUGGGGACGGAGCAGAGCGCUGACAAAGAGAAAGAGGUAGUCAAACAUUUUGAAGAGGGGUGAAUGGGACUGAAGGUGGAUGGAUGAAUGGAGGCAGAGAGGGAGAGGAAGAAGCAUUCAAUGGUCCAGACUUCUGUCUGAAUUUGUAGCUUUAAGUUUAGGUGUCCGCGUCUAGCCAGCUUCCAGUUAAUCCUCAACAGCUUCUAGUGAUUAGAAGUUAGUCUAUUUAGCAUGCUAUAUCCUUCUUCCUUGGGUUUUCGUUACAAGUUAUACGAUUAGGAUUGCGAGAACAGUAGUGAACUAAACUUCCCAGUAAGAGGUCUUCACACCAGGGAAGUGUUACUUUGCUGCAGCAGCCCUGCCUCGUCAGUCAUUAGGAAGCUGCAGGUUGUCAGAGGCUUCUCUUGCGCGCACACAAGCGCAGACACACACGCGCACACACACAAAACCACAGCACUAAAACUAAAUUAAGAAGCCGAUGAUUAAGACAAGCGUCUACGAGGCCUGUCAUUUCAGCAUCCUUCCAUCAUAACAUUGUGGCACCGAGAAAUUUGCUUGAAAACCCUGGAAAAAAAAAUGUCUAUGGGAGAGCCUCGUAUUUGAGGCUGUUAAUAUCAAAUAUAGACUGGGAACUGCCUCGGAUGCAAGAUAGUAUUCCGCAGAGGAAUGGAGCGCUGCAGAGACCUUGGUGCUAUCCGCGCACUCCUGAAACUCUGUUAAAACGUUCUAGGCCGAUGCUUUUGUCGGCGUUGCGAUACUGAAGCAAAGAAUGUGAAAUAAAUUACGGAGGACCUGGGGAGAAAAAAAGAAAAACAACAAAACAAACCCAAGUAGUGCUUGAAGAAGACCUCUAGCUGCUCUUUGACUCCUAAGAAACUGUUGCUGGGAUAUUUUCAUGGUGUUGUUCUAAAGCUCUUCAGCCUCCUAUAAACGUAAUCUUUGGCAAAUGACA